Molecule: ribosomal RNA, 406 nt
Filed under: uncultured bacterium
Lineage: Bacteria
Description: partial 16S ribosomal RNA
Rfam family: Bacterial small subunit ribosomal RNA
Source: RNAcentral
AUUGAACGCUGGCGGCAGGCCUAACACAUGCAAGUCGAACGAGUGGCGGACGGGUGAGUAAUGUCUGGAAAACUGCCUGAUGGAGGGGUAUCACUACUGGAACCGGUAGCUAAUACCGCAUAACAUCAGAUGUGCCCAGAUGGGAUGAGCGAGUUGGUGGGGUAACGGCUCACCAAGGCGACGAUCCCUAGCUGGUCUGAGAGGAUGACCAGCCACACUGGAACUGAGACACGGUCCAGACUCCUGCGGGAGGCAGCAGUGGGGAAUAUGGCACAAUGGGCGCAAGCCUGAUGCAGCCAUGCCGCGUGUAUGAAGAAGGCCUUCGGGUUGUAAAGUACUUUCAGUGGGGAGGCGUUACCCGCAGAAGAAGCACCGGCUAACUCCGUGCCAGCAGCCGCGGUAAUUC